AAUUGACUGCCGAAGACAGCAGGUGCCGUAAGGCAUAAGGUAUGAACGCCUGCCGAGGAAGAUCAGAAUUCUUAAUAUGAAUUUGUGAACUUUCGCGUUUUCGGACACGGAAGUUUUUUUAGU
Molecule: small RNA, 123 nt
Filed under: uncultured Muricomes sp.
Lineage: Bacteria; Bacillati; Bacillota; Clostridia; Lachnospirales; Lachnospiraceae
Description: Ribosomal protein L10 leader
Rfam family: Ribosomal protein L10 leader
About the family: This family is a putative r-protein leader autoregulatory structure found in B. subtilis and other low-GC Gram-positive bacteria. It is located in the 5' untranslated regions of mRNAs encoding ribosomal proteins L10 and L12 (rplJ-rplL).
Source: RNAcentral